UUCGNNUGGGGGAACCCUGACGCAGCAACGCCGCGUGGAGGAUGAAGCCCCUUGGGGCGUAAACUCCUUUCGACCAAGACGAUAAUGACGGUACUGGUGGAAGAAGCACCGGCUAACUCUGUGCCAGCAGCCGCGGUAAUACAGAGGGUGCGAGCGUUGUUCGGAAUUAUUGGGCGUAAAGGGCGCGUAGGCGGCGCGGUAAGUCACCUGUGAAAUCUCCGGGCUUAACUCGGAGCCUGCAGGCGAAACUGCCGUGCUGGAGUAUGGGAGAGGUGCGUGGAAUUCCCGGUGUAGCGGUGAAAUGCGUAGACAUCGGGAGGAACACCUGUGGCGAAAGCGGCGCACUGGACCAUAACUGACGCUGAGGCGCGAAAGCUAGGGGAGCAAACAGGAUUAGAUACCCUGGUAGUCCUAGCCCUAAACGAUGGAUGCUUGGUGUGGUGGGUACCCAAUCCCACUGUGCCGCAGCUAACGCGAUAAGCAUCCCGCCUGGGGAGUACGGUCGCAAGGCUGAAACUCAAAAGAAUUGACGA
RNAcentral lists this ribosomal RNA (533 nucleotides) under uncultured bacterium. Its description in RNAcentral is "bacterial SSU rRNA". It matches the Rfam family "Bacterial small subunit ribosomal RNA", at positions 365 to 916 of the family's 1533-position model. The record is from RNAcentral.